Molecule: ribosomal RNA, 484 nt
Filed under: uncultured bacterium
Lineage: Bacteria
Description: partial 16S ribosomal RNA
Rfam family: Bacterial small subunit ribosomal RNA
Source: RNAcentral
AUUGAACGCUGGCGGCAGGCCUAACACAUGCAAGUCGAGCGGAUGAAGGGAGCUUGCUCCUGGAUUCAGCGGCGGACGGGUGAGUAAUGCCUAGGAAUCUGCCUGGUAGUGGGGGAUAACGUCCGCAAACGGGCGCUACUACCGCCUACUUCCUGAGGGAGCUAGUGGGGGAUCUUCGGACCUCUCCCUCUCUGAUGAGCCUAGGUCGGAUUAGCUAGUUGGUGGGGUAAAGGCCUACCAAGGCGACGAUCCGUAACUGGUCUGAGAGGAUGAUCGGUCACACUGGAAGUGAGACACGGUCAAGACUACUACGGGAGGCAGCAGUGGGGAAUAUUAGACAAUGGGGGAAAGCCUGAUCCAGCCAUGCCGCGUGUGUGAAGAAGGUCUUCGGAUUGUAAAGCACUUUAAGUUGGGAGGAAGGGCAGUAAGUUAAUACCUUGCUGUUUUGACGGUACCAACAGAAUAAGCACCGGCUAACUUCGUG